CCCAUUCCGAACACAGAAGUUAAGCUCUUUAGCGCCGAUGGUACUUGGUGGGAAGCCGCCUGGGAGAGUAGGACGUAGCCACGU
This 84-nucleotide ribosomal RNA is filed under the name Paraclostridium sordellii. The record is from RNAcentral. Lineage: Bacteria; Bacillati; Bacillota; Clostridia; Peptostreptococcales; Peptostreptococcaceae.